AGAGUUUGAUCAUGGCUCAGAAUGAACGCUGGCGGCGUGCUUAACACAUGCAAGUCGCACGAGAACUCUUUAGCUUGCUAAAGAUAGUAAAGUGGCGCACGGGUGAGUAACGCGUGGGUAAUCUACCUCUGAAUCGGGGAUAACACCGCGAAAGCGAUGCUAAUACCGGAUAAUAUCUUUUAAGCUUCGGCUUACCAGAUCAAAGGUGGCCUCUACAUGAAAGCUACUGUUUGGAGAUGGGCCCGCGUACCAUUAGCUUGUUGGUGGGGUAAUGGCCCACCAAGGCAUCGAUGGUUAGCUGGUCUGAGAGGAUGAUCAGCCACACUGGAACUGACACACGGUCCAGACUCCUACGGGAGGCAGCAGUGAGGAAUUUUGCGCAAUGGGGGAAACCCUGACGCAGCAACGCCGCGUGAGUGAUGAAGGCCCUCGGGUCGUAAAACUCUGUCAAGUGGGAAGAACCUGCUUUAUGUUAAUACCAUAUUGCACUGACGGUACCACUGAAGGAAGCACCGGCUAACUCCGUGCCAGCAGCCGCGGUAAUACGGAGGGUGCAAGCGUUAUUCGGAAUUAUUGGGCGUAAAGAGCGCGUAGGCGGUCUUUUAAGUCAGAUGUGAAAGCCCGAGGCUUAACCUCGGAAGUGCAUUUGAAACUAAGGGACUUGAGUAUGGGAGAGGGAAGUGGAAUUCCUGGUGUAGAGGUGAAAUUCGUAGAUAUCAGGAGGAACACCGGUGGCGAAGGCGACUUCCUGGACCAAUACUGACGCUGAGGCGCGAAGGCGUGGGGAGCAAACAGGAUUAGAUACCCUGGUAGUCCACGCAGUAAACGGUGAACACUAGGUAUAGCGGGUAUUGACCCCUGCUGUGCCGUAGUUAACGCAUUAAGUGUUCCCGCCUGGGGAGUAC
RNAcentral lists this ribosomal RNA (905 nucleotides) under uncultured Pseudomonadota bacterium. RNAcentral describes it as "bacterial SSU rRNA". It matches the Rfam family "Bacterial small subunit ribosomal RNA", at positions 8 to 883 of the family's 1533-position model. Lineage: Bacteria; Pseudomonadati; Pseudomonadota. The record is from RNAcentral.